AGCAAAUCGUCGAGCAAGAAGAGUACAUGUUUUCAGAUUGUUAAAGAGAGCCGGGAUGGUGGAAACCGGUACAGGAGAAAGCAUCGAAUGGGCUUGCGAGAGGCGUUCUGAAUAGAGUAGGAAUGCACGGGUUCCGCCGUUAAAAGGAUAGGGUAUCGGAUUUUUCCUGUACCUGAAAAGAGGAAGCGGCAACUAUGCUGCUUCAAUCGAGGUGGCACCGCGGUUACUUAAUCGUCCUCUAU
Molecule: non-coding RNA, 242 nt
Filed under: Bacillus sp. (in: firmicutes)
Lineage: Bacteria; Bacillati; Bacillota; Bacilli; Caryophanales; Bacillaceae
Description: Bacillus sp. T-box sequence
Rfam family: T-box leader
About the family: Uncharged tRNA acts as the effector for transcription antitermination of genes in the T-box leader family. T-boxes are found upstream of many aminoacyl-tRNA synthetase genes and some amino acid biosynthetic genes usually in Gram-positive bacteria.
Source: RNAcentral